UAGAAAGUGGUGUAGUGGAAGCACAGAGGGUUUUGAGCUCUUUAGGGGGGGUUCAAGUCCCCCUUUUCUAA
Molecule: transfer RNA, 71 nt
Filed under: Benthodesmus tenuis (slender frostfish)
Lineage: Eukaryota; Metazoa; Chordata; Actinopteri; Scombriformes; Trichiuridae
Description: tRNA-Gln
Rfam family: tRNA
About the family: Transfer RNA (tRNA) molecules are approximately 80 nucleotides in length. Their secondary structure includes four short double-helical elements and three loops (D, anti-codon, and T loops).
Source: RNAcentral